Mycena metata is the source of this 94-nucleotide non-coding RNA. NCBI's taxonomy places the organism in Eukaryota, Fungi, Basidiomycota, Agaricomycetes, Agaricales, Mycenaceae. The record is from the annotation of a GenBank genome assembly.
GCUCUCGUAGCUCACCGGUCUGAGCCUCCACUUGCGAUGGACCGCCUUAUCACAUGUUAUGUGGAUGACGUGGGUUUGACUCCUACCGAGGGCA